Molecule: small RNA, 2306 nt
Filed under: Pongo abelii (Sumatran orangutan)
Lineage: Eukaryota; Metazoa; Chordata; Mammalia; Primates; Hominidae
Description: processed transcript
Source: RNAcentral
GAGCCGGCGGCGGGAGGAGCUAGGGCUGGAGCUUCUCCAGCCUCCCGCGAAGGUUUGAGCACAAAAUGAACAUAAUUAGGGAAAAUAAGGAUCUGGCAUGUUUCUACACAACAAAACAUUCAUGGAGGGGGAAGUAUAAGCGUGUCUUUUCAGUUGGAACUCAUGCGAUUACUACAUAUAAUCCCAAUACCUUAGAAGUAACAAAUCAGUGGCCUUAUGGAGACAUUUGCAGCAUCAGCCCUGUUGGAAAAGGACAAGGAACGGAGUUCAACCUCACAUUUCGUAAAGGCAGUGGAAAAAAGUCAGAAACUUUAAAAUUUUCUACAGAGCACAGAACAGAACUUCUUACAGAAGCAUUGAGAUUUAGAACUGAUUUUUCAGAGGGAAAAAUCACAGGAAGGAGAUACAACUGCUAUAAGCAUCACUGGAGUGACUCAAGAAAACCUGUAAUUUUGGAAGUAACUCCAGGAGGCUUUGACCAAAUCAAUCCUGCAACCAACAGAGUACUCUGUUCCUAUGACUAUAGAAAUAUUGAAGGAUUUGUAGAUCUCUCAGAUUAUCAAGGAGGAUUUUGUAUACUUUAUGGAGGAUUUAGUAGAUUGCAUUUAUUUGCAUCAGAGCAAAGAGAAGAGAUUAUUAAAAGUGCAAUAGACCAUGCUGGUAACUACAUAGGUAUUACAUUGCGGAUCAGGAAAGAGCCUUUAGAAUUCGAGCAAUAUUUGAAUCUUCGCUUUGGAAAAUACAGCACUGAUGAAUCCAUCACAUCUUUAGCAGAGUUUGUAGUCCAAAAAAUAUCACCUAGACAUUCGGAGCCUGUUAAAAGAGUUCUAGCACUUACAGAAACAUGUUUAGUAGAACGUGAUCCAGCAACCUAUAAUAUUGCAACAUUGAAGCCUUUAGGAGAAGUAUUUGCAUUGGUCUGUGACUCAGAAAAUCCACAACUUUUUACCAUUGAAUUUAUAAAAGGGCAAGUACGGAAAUAUUCUUCAACAGAAAGAGAUUCCUUAUUAGCAAGUUUGCUGGAUGGAGUAAGAGCCUCUGGUAAUAGAGAUGUUUGUGUAAAAAUGACACCAACCCAUAAAGGUCAGCGAUGGGGGUUACUCAGCAUGCCUGUUGAUGAGGAAGUAGAGAGCCUUCACCUCAGGUUCUUAGCUACACCUCCAAAUGGCAACUUUGCAGAUGCUGUAUUCAGGUUCAAUGCUAAUAUUUCAUACAGUGGAGUCCUGCAUGCAGUAACACAAGAUGGUCUCUUCUCAGAAAACAAAGAAAAACUGAUCAAUAAUGCCAUAACAGCAUUAUUGUCCCAAGAAGGGGAUGUCGUUGCUUCAAAUGCGGAACUUGAGAGUCAGUUCCAGGCCGUGAGGAGGCUUGUGGCAUCCAAAGCUGGUUUCCUAGCUUUCACUCAGCUUCCAAAGUUUCGCGAGCGUCUAGGGGUGAAGGUAGUAAAAGCACUCAAAAGGAGCAACAACGGAGUAAUCCAUGCAGCAGUUGAUAUGCUUUGUGCCCUUAUGUGUCCCAUGCAUGAUGACUAUGACUUAAGACAAGAACAGUUGAACAAAGCUUCUCUUCUCUCGUCAAAGAAGUUUCUGGAAAACUUACUGGAGAAAUUUAAUUCCCAUGUGGAUCAUGGGACUGGUGCCCUCGUUAUUAGUUCGCUCUUGGACUUCCUUACUUUUGCCCUCUGUGCUCCAUAUAGUGAGACAACUGAAGGGCAGCAGUUUGAUAUGCUCUUAGAGAUGGUAGCAUCCAAUGGAAGAACCCUUUUUAAACUUUUUCAGCAUCCUUCCAUGGCAAUAAUAAAAGGAGCUGGGUUGGUUAUGAAGGCAAUAAUAGAGGAAGGUGAUAAAGAAAUUGCUACAAAAAUGCAGGAGCUUGCCCUAAGUGAAGGUGCCUUACCUCGACACUUGCAUACUGCGAUGUUUACAAUAAGCUCAGAUCAAAGGAUGCUUACAAAUAGACAGCUAAGUAGACAUUUAGUGGGACUCUGGACAGCUGAUAAUGCAACUGCAACAAACUUGUUGAAACGCAUUUUGCCGCCAGGCUUGCUGGCAUACUUGGACAGCUCAGAUCUCGUACCUGAGAAGGAUGCUGAUCGGAUGCAUGUUAGAGACAAUGUGAAAAUAGCAAUGGAUCAGUAUGGAAAAUUUAAUAAAGUUCCAGAGUGGCAAAGACUAGCUGGAAAAGCUGCUAAAGAAGUUGAAAAAUUUGCCAAAGAAAAAGUGGAUCUUGUAUUGAUGCACUGGAGGGAUAGGAUGGGCAUUGCUCAAAAAGAGGUAAAAAUAAAAUUUGCUUCCAAAUUCCUAGCA